RNAcentral lists this long non-coding RNA (411 nucleotides) under Rattus norvegicus (Norway rat). Its description in RNAcentral is "long non-coding RNA NONRATT007927". Lineage: Eukaryota; Metazoa; Chordata; Mammalia; Rodentia; Muridae. The record is from RNAcentral.
GAAGGAUCCUUCGUGGCUGCUUUCACUGACAAACCCAGGAACUCUGCAGUCCAGCUGGAUCUGGCUUCUACUGCCCUUCUGAUCUUUCUGUGGAUGGCUGUGGAAUUCUCAGCCUCACACUGCAACUCCCCUCCAUGCCAGGCCCCGCUGCGGGGUGCUGAAGAUGCCUUCUGUUAGUAGGAAGAGUUCAGAUCUCUCAUUCACUCCCUCCCGGGCAGGGAGGAGUUGCCUUGGCCUUGGGACACAGCCUGCAAGUCCUCUGCGAAUUCUGAAGCAGUCCCACUCGUCCCCCUCCCUCACAACUACUGUGUGCUACCUGCUGCUGAAGAUCUCUGCCCAUCUGGGAUUUUUCUUAGCAAUGGGGUUCUAGAAGAGUCUAUAGAAUAAAAGGACUUCUGGUGUAUAUGGUAA